This 481-nucleotide ribosomal RNA is filed under the name uncultured bacterium. RNAcentral's name for it is "bacterial SSU rRNA". It matches the Rfam family "Bacterial small subunit ribosomal RNA", at positions 335 to 800 of the family's 1533-position model. The record is from RNAcentral.
ACUCCUACGGGAGGCAGCAGUGGGGAAUAUUGCACAAAUGGGCGCAAGCCUGAUGCAGCCAUGCCGCGUGUAUGAAGAAGGCCUUCGGGUUGUAAAGUACUUUCAGCAGUGAGGAAGGUGGGUAUGUUAAUAGCAUAUUCAUUUGACGUUAGCUGCAGAAGAAGCACCGGCUAACUCCGUGCCAGCAGCCGCGGUAAUACGGAGGGUGCGAGCGUUAAUCGGAAUUACUGGGCUAAAGCGCAUGCAGGUGGUUUAGUUAAGUCAGAUGUGAAAGCCCGGGGCUCAACCUCGGAAUUGCAUUUGAAACUGGCAAACUAGAGUACUGUAGAGGGGGGUAGAAUUUCAGGUGUAGCGGUGAAAUGCGUAGAGAUCUGAAGGAUACCGGUGGCGAAGGCGGCCCCCUGGACAGAUACUAGACACGUCACGAUGCGAAAGCGUGGGGGACGCAAACGAGGAUUAGACUACCCGUGGUAGGCUCUGC